GACGAACGCUGGCGGCGUGCUUAACACAUGCAAGUCGAACGGAAAGGCCCUGCUUUUGUGGGGUGCUCGAGUGGCGAACGGGUGAGUAACACGUGAGUAACCUGCCCUUGACUUUGGGAUAACUUCAGGAAACUUGGGCUAAUACCGGAUAGGAGCUCCUGCUGCAUGGUGGGGGUUGGAAAGUUUCGGCGGUUGGGGAUGGACUCGCGGCUUAUCAGCUUGUUGGUGGGGUAGUGGCUUACCAAGGCUUUGACGGGUAGCCGGCCUGAGAGGGUGACCGGCCACAUUGGGACUGAGAUACGGCCCAGACUCCUACGGGAGGCAGCAGUGGGGAAUAUUGCACAAUGGGCGGAAGCCUGAUGCAGCAACGCCGCGUGCGGGAUGACGGCCUUCGGGUUGUAAACCGCUUUCGCCUGUGACGAAGCGUGAGUGAAGGUAAUGGGUAAAGAAGCACCGGCUAACUACGUG
Molecule: ribosomal RNA, 468 nt
Filed under: uncultured bacterium
Lineage: Bacteria
Description: partial 16S ribosomal RNA
Rfam family: Bacterial small subunit ribosomal RNA
Source: RNAcentral